CGGUUAAAAAGCUCGUAGUUGGAUUUCUGCCGAGGACGACGGGUCCGCUCUUUGAGCGUGUAUCUAGUUCGGUCUUGGCAUCCUCUUGGGGAACGCUUCUGUGCUUCGUUGCAUGGGGUGGGAUUCAAGACUUUUACUUUGAGGAAAUUAGAGUGUUCACGGCAAGCUUUCGCUUUGAAUACAUUAGCAUGGAAUAAUAAUAUAGGGCGUAAGUUCUAUUUUGUUGGUUUCUAGGACAUACGCAAUGAUUAAUAGGGACAAUUGGGGGCAUUCGUAUUAACGCGUCAGAGGUGGAAUUCUUAGAUCGCGUUACGACGAACUACUGCGAAAGCAUUUGCCAAAGAUGUUUUCAUUGAUCAAGAACGAAAGUAUGGGGAUCGAAGACGAUUAGAUACCGUCGUAGUCUAUACCAUAAACUAUGCCAAUUAGAGAUUGGGCGUCGUUCGUUUUAUGACUCGCUCAGCACCUUAUGAGAAAUCAAAAUUUUUGGGUUCCGGGGGGAGUAUGGUCGCAAGGCUGAAACUUAAAGGAAUUGACGGAAGGGCACCACCAGGAGUGGAGCCUGCGGCUUAAUUUGACUCAACACGGGAAAACUUACCAGGUCCAGACAUAGUAAGGAUUGACAGAUA
Molecule: ribosomal RNA, 629 nt
Filed under: uncultured eukaryote
Lineage: Eukaryota
Description: SSU rRNA
Rfam family: Eukaryotic small subunit ribosomal RNA
Source: RNAcentral